AAAAACUAAAAAGAACCAUGAACUAGUUAAAAAAAAAAAAGGUCGAAUACAUCAUUUGCCUCCUGAAUGUGCAAAAAAAGGUCUUGUGACCCAUUCUACUUUCAUAAUGAUCUUGUGACACCUUAAAUUUUACUUUUUACAACAAUUGCACACCUGGUAAGAGUAGUAAAUUGGUUGUGUAUAACACACGCGGAUGGCGUGAAAAAUUACAAUUCCAAGUCACAAUUAAUUUUGCCACGUUGAAUAUCACGCAAUAACAAAUUCAUGAAUCAAGCCAAAUCAAACCUAAAUCAGCAACUAGCCUAUAGGAUUUCUCUAAAAAUCUAAAAAUCCCUAUUUUGCCCUAACCCAAAAUCCCUUCUCCCCCUUCCUGAUCACACCACAGCCCCCUCCCCUAUCCCCUUCAUUUUCUGUUCAUUAAAGCUUAAAGCUUCGCUUAUCUGACCAUCUCACAUUGCCGGCAGCACCAUUGGCCACCGCUUCUGCCUUUGUUCUUGUUCAAGCGAUGCUAAUGAAAGAGACAGAUGGGCUUGUCGAUCGAGACAACCCUCUUUCUCCUUUCUUUUGGCAUUUCCGGUGACCUAAGCUCAAGUCCUCUGACUAGAGCCUUUUUUCGUCGUUCAUCCGUCGCUCACUCCAUCUCCGGUCUCUCUCUUUCUCUUUCGGCUAGCACAAUAGAGAGGGAAUCGCAGUUUCACUUUUCUAAUCGGUCCAACCUGCUUCAGCGCUACUCUCUGCUUCUUCGGCAAGACUGGCCACAAGCCGGCGAGACCGUCAAUAAUUUUUUUAUUAUAUAUGUCUAAAUUCAUUGCAUUAAUCAAUGAAGAAAAAUGAAUAUAUUUUUUCAUUCAAUAAUUUACUAGGUACAGAAGAAAAUAAUGAUUUGACAUCUGAUAUUAUUUUGAUUUGUUUUGUGUGUGUGUGUGUGUGUGUGUACUGUUUAUGUUUGAUUUGUAGUCCAUAUUUUCAGAUUUUUUGUUCAU
Molecule: long non-coding RNA, 983 nt
Filed under: Jatropha curcas
Lineage: Eukaryota; Viridiplantae; Streptophyta; Magnoliopsida; Malpighiales; Euphorbiaceae
Description: long non-coding RNA (JCUR_LNC002998)
Source: RNAcentral